Molecule: ribosomal RNA, 1297 nt
Filed under: Parabacteroides merdae
Lineage: Bacteria; Pseudomonadati; Bacteroidota; Bacteroidia; Bacteroidales; Tannerellaceae
Description: partial 23S ribosomal RNA
Rfam family: Bacterial large subunit ribosomal RNA
Source: RNAcentral
CCCUUGAAAGAGUGCGUAACAGCUCACUGGUCUAGUGGUUCCGCGCCGACAAUGUAGCGGGGCUCAAGCACACCACCGAAGACGCGGCAGUAUUUUGUACUGGGUAGGAGAGCGUCCCAUGAGGGGCGAAGCGGCCGUGUGAACGCGCCGUGGACUUCAUGGGAGUGAGAAUGCAGACAUGAGUAGCGAGAGACGGGUGAAGAUCCCGUCCGCUGGAUGACCAAGGGUUCCAGGGCCACGUUCAUCGUCCCUGGGUGAGUCGGGUCCUAAGGCGAGGCCGACAGGCGUAGUCGAAUGGAUGAACGGGUCGAUAUUCCCGUACCGGCUUUCAGCCGCCAAAACCGAGGCUUGGAGUACUAACCUCCGGGUCCGGGCUUACUGCUCCUUCGGGGGCGGGAUGCCCUGGCCUGUUGGGACCGAUCCUUGUAGUAGGUCAGCGCAGGAGUGACGCAGAAGGGUAGCCGGCCGCGGAGGUGGUCUUCCGUGGUCAAGCACGCAGGGCGUGGGACAGGCAAAUCCGUCCCGCAUGGGUCCGAGGUGCGAUGAUGGGGGCCUUAUGGCCCGAUAUCCGGUGAUCCCGGCUGCCGAGAAAAGCUUCGGCGUCAGGCUCAAAGCCGCCCGUACCCCAAACCGACACUGGUGGUCAGGUAGAGAAUACCAAAGCGAUCGAGCGAAUCCUGGUCAAGGAACUCGGCAAAUCACUCCCGUUCCUUCGGUUUAAGGGAGACCCCCGAUGGUGAACACACUUGCUGUGGGAGCUUUUGGGGGUGGCACAGACCAGGGGGUAGCGACUGUUUACCAAAAACACAGGUGCAUGCGAAGGCGCAAGCCGCUGUAUAUGCACUGACGCCUGCCCGGUGCCGGAAGGUUAAGAGGAUCCGUCAGCCUUCGGGUGAAGCGGUGAAUUCAAGCCCCGGUAAACGGCGGUGGUAACUAUAACCAUCCUAAGGUAGCGAAAUUCCUUGUCGGGUAAGUUCCGACCUGCACGAAUGGCGUAACGACUUCCCAACUGUCUCAACCGCGAACUCGGCGAAAUUGCAGUACGAGUAAAGAUGCUCGUUAAGCGCAGAAGGACGAAAAGACCCCGGGACCUUUACUAUACCUUGGUAUUGGCAUUCGGUGUGGAUUGUGUAGCAUAGGCGGGAGGCCGAGAGGCGCGGUCGCCAGAUCGCGCGGAGCCGUAAGGUGAAAUACCGCUCUGUUCGCAUUGGAUGUCUAACCUCGAACAGUCAUCCUGUUCAGGGACAGUGCCUGGCGGGUAGUUUAACUGGGGCGGUUGCCUCCCAAAGAGUAACGG